UGGGGAAUAUUGGACAAUGGGCGAAAGCCUGAUCCAGCAAUGCCGCGUGAGUGAUGAAGGCCUUAGGGUUGUAAAGCUCUUUUACCCGGGAUGAUAAUGACAGUACCGGGAGAAUAAGCCCCGGCUAACUCCGUGCCAGCAGCCGCGGUAAUACGGAGGGGGCUAGCGUUGUUCGGAAUUACUGGGCGUAAAGCGCGCGUAGGCGGUUUUUUAAGUCAGAGGUGAAAGCCCAGUGCUCAACACUGGAACUGCCUUUGAAACUGGAAAACUUGAAUCUUGGAGAGGUCAGUGGAAUUCCGAGUGUAGAGGUGAAAUUCGUAGAUAUUCGGAAGAACACCAGUGGCGAAGGCGACUGACUGGACAAGUAUUGACGCUGAGGUGCGAAAGCGUGGGGAGCAAACA
Molecule: ribosomal RNA, 402 nt
Filed under: uncultured Sphingopyxis sp.
Lineage: Bacteria; Pseudomonadati; Pseudomonadota; Alphaproteobacteria; Sphingomonadales; Sphingopyxidaceae
Description: bacterial SSU rRNA
Rfam family: Bacterial small subunit ribosomal RNA
Source: RNAcentral